AGAUAUUUAUGCAAUCAACUGCAUGGGGUGCUUCAGUUUGUGAUGUUUUGGGUGGUUUGGGUAAACACGGUGAUCGAGAACAGAAUUAUUGUAAGGCAGAGCCAGCCAUUACAUACAAACAAAAAAUACAAACAUGCAAGAACCUUUCCAAUAAAGAAUGUAGAAAAAAGCAAACAGUAGACUUUCUAAUUCAAUGUAAAAUUAAUGGAGUAUUUCUGAAGACAAUUUUUAAUGUUAAAUUAUAAGUAAAUUCUAAGAAAUUACUUCAAAAAAUGAAGAGAUUCUGCUUAGGAAUAGCUCUAUCAGAUGUAAAAAGAAAAUUAUU
Molecule: long non-coding RNA, 325 nt
Filed under: Androctonus crassicauda
Lineage: Eukaryota; Metazoa; Arthropoda; Arachnida; Scorpiones; Buthidae
Source: RNAcentral